AAAAAUUUAGUUAAAUAAUAACAUUAGUUUGUCAAACUAAAAUUACCAUUAAGGUAAUUUUUU
This 63-nucleotide transfer RNA is filed under the name Chrysomela aeneicollis. Its description in RNAcentral is "tRNA-Asp". Lineage: Eukaryota; Metazoa; Arthropoda; Insecta; Coleoptera; Chrysomelidae. The record is from RNAcentral.